GUACCAUGGUGAAUAUACCGGUUCUCGUUAGAUCACCGAAGUUAAGCAUCAUUGGGCGCGGUCAGUACUUGGGUGGGUGACCACCUGGGAACACUGCGUGCCGUU
RNAcentral lists this ribosomal RNA (105 nucleotides) under Caerostris darwini. Lineage: Eukaryota; Metazoa; Arthropoda; Arachnida; Araneae; Araneidae. The record is from RNAcentral.